GAUGAACGCUGGCGGCGUGCCUAAUACAUGCAAGUCGAGCGAACGGACGAGAAGCUUGCUUCUCUGAUGUUAGCGGCGGACGGGUAAGUAACACGUGGAUAACCUACCUAUAAGACUGGGAUAACUUCGGGAAACCGGAGCUAAUACCGGAUAAUAUUUUGAACCGCAUGGUUCAAAAGUGAAAGACGGUCUUGCUGUCACUUAUAGAUGGAUCCGCGCUGCAUUAGCUAGUUGGUAAGGUAACGGCUUACCAAGGCAACGAUGCAUAGCCGACCUGAGAGGGUGAUAGGCCACACUGGAACUGAGACACGGUCCAGACUCCUACGGGAGGCAGCAGUAGGGAAUCUUCCGCAAUGGGCGAAAGCCUGACGGAGCAACGCCGCGUGAGUGAUGAAGGUCUUCGGAUCGUAAAACUCUGUUAUUAGGGAAGAACAUAUGUGUAAGUAACUGUGCACAUCUUGACGGUACCUAAUCAGAAAGCCACGGCUAACUACGUG
RNAcentral lists this ribosomal RNA (497 nucleotides) under uncultured bacterium. RNAcentral describes it as "partial 16S ribosomal RNA". It matches the Rfam family "Bacterial small subunit ribosomal RNA", at positions 28 to 507 of the family's 1533-position model. The record is from RNAcentral.